This 1278-nucleotide long non-coding RNA is filed under the name Sarcophilus harrisii (Tasmanian devil). RNAcentral describes it as "lncRNA (ENSSHAG00000021503.1)". Lineage: Eukaryota; Metazoa; Chordata; Mammalia; Dasyuromorphia; Dasyuridae. The record is from RNAcentral.
AUGGAGGAUGGACGGACCCAAAGUGCCUGCGUCCGUAGAGAUGCGUGUAUGCACAUGGACACACACGCCGCCUCCUUGGCAGCCGGUCUCCGCUCCCCGGAGUCCCCGCGCGCUGCGGACCGCCUGCCUUCCUCCCGGCCGUCCCGAGGCUCGCCUGGCGGGCCCGACCCCAGCCCGGCCUCGCUCGCCCCCUCCCUCCGCACACUGCAGCACGUCUGCCCGGAGCUGUCCCCCGCGCCCAGACUGGCACGCCAGCAAGUCCCGGGGAGGACAAAGUUUGCCGCCCCUCGGGACGCUCUCCGUCCGCGGGGGUCCCGGGGGGAGGGGAGGGCGCGCCGGCCCGGCCGGGGGUCGCGGGCGCCGCUCUCCGGGGCAGCGCGAGCGCGGGGUCGCCGGCUCCGUCCGCGCCCCGUGCCUUCCCCGCCCCGCUGUCCCCGGGCUGCGGGCACAUCCCAGGCGCGCCGCCCCUCCUCCUGCCGCCCGCUUCCUCCUUCCCUCCCUCCCUGCGCCGCCCGCCGCGGCCGCGGCCGCCUGAAGGGCACCGCGGCCGCGCCGCCGCCGCCUCGCCCCGGCCGGCGGCGAGUUGGGGGAAGUCGCCCGCCGCCCCAGCGGCCGGCCUGCCUGCCCUCCCACCGCCCGGCGGCCGCGGCGCCCAGCCCAGCCCCGCCCCGCCCCCAGCCCCCGCUCCCGGGCGCGCUGGCUCACCGUCCGGCGCUGCUGCUGGUGCCGGGGGCGGCUGACGCCCAGCCCGGGGAAGCAGCCGGCAGUCAGCGCCCCGCAGCCGCCGGCGCCCCCGCCGCCGCCCCGGGAGGAAAGGAGCAGCAGGAGCGAUCUACCUGCGGCGGCCGCCAUCUCUCAACUGGAAGCGGCGCCGACCUAGGCAGCGCAGCGGACGGCCGGGGCGGGGCCGAUGCCCGCCAUUCACUAGCGACCGGCCAACCAGCGCGCUCGCUCGAGUCGGCGAGGCGGAGCCGCUCGGAGCGCCCAAUCGAAAAGCGGCAGGGCGGUACCAGGGGCUGUCAGUCUCCACCCGAGUUACCUAUAGUGGGACACGGUCAAUUACGGGCAGAUUCUAGGGAACCGGUAAUUGGCACCCGAGCCCCCCGGAGCGGCCUCUGUAGCGGGGGCAUGCCCGGUUCGGCAAAGCUUCCCAAGCGUAGAGCGGGGCUCGGGAUCGCUGAGGGAAGGAGGGAAAAGGCGUUAUGCGGAGCUCUGCAACGAGUGCAUUUUCCAAGUUGGAGGAAAAAAGAGGCACCAAUAAAACUAAUCAUUAACUAG